CGGACGGGUGAGUAAUGUCUGGGAAACUGCCUGAUGGAGGGGGAUAACUGCUGGAAACGGUAGCUAAUACCGCAUAACGUCGCAAGACCAAAGAGGGGGACCUUCGGGCCUCUUGCCACCGGAUGUGCCCAGAUGGGAUUAGCUAGUAGGUGGGGUAACGGCUCACCUAGGCGACGAUCCCUAGCUGGUCUGAGAGGAUGGCCAGCCACACUGGAACUGAGACACGGUCCAG
Molecule: ribosomal RNA, 232 nt
Filed under: uncultured bacterium
Lineage: Bacteria
Description: partial 16S ribosomal RNA
Rfam family: Bacterial small subunit ribosomal RNA
Source: RNAcentral